This is a long non-coding RNA of Teleopsis dalmanni, 324 nucleotides long. RefSeq lists it as uncharacterized. The transcript is spliced from 3 exons. NCBI's taxonomy places the organism in Eukaryota, Metazoa, Arthropoda, Insecta, Diptera, Diopsidae. The record is from RefSeq and is a predicted model, not a curated record.
CUAGAUUUUAUAUUGAACUUUCAUUUCCGUUUCAUGCGGUUUUUAUGCAUUUGAUUCGCUUGUAAGAUUUCUUGUAAGAAAAUAACGCGCCUUCUUAUUAGUUAAUUCGCGGUUGAACUUCGGAAGUGCAAGUGGGCGAAAAUAUUACCGUGGAAAUUUUUAAUUGCUGCAAAGCAAGUUCAGUACGUGGAGUGUUCGGUGAAGUUGGCUGAGGUAUAUACUGUAUAAUGUCUCUUCAACCAAGCGUAAGACCACGUGUUCGUGUUCCUUCACCUCAACUUAUGGGAAAAGUUGGUAUUCGUCCUGUCAUGACAUUUACGGGUC